AUUGAACGCUGGCGGCAGGCUUAACACAUGCAAGUCGAGCGGGGGAAGGUAGCUUGCUACUGGACCUAGCGGCGGACGGGUGAGUAAUGCUUAGGAAUCUGCCUAUUAGUGGGGGACAACAUCUCGAAAGGGAUGCUAAUACCGUAUACGUCCUACGGGAGAAAGCAGGGGAUCUUCGGACCUUGCGCUAAUAGAUGAGCCUAAGUCGGAUUAGCUAGUUGGUGGGGUAAAGGCCUACCAAGGCGACGAUCUGUAGCGGGUCUGAGAGGAUGAUCCGCCAAACUGGGACUGAGACACGGCCCAGACUCCUACGGGAGGCAGCAGUGGGGAAUAUUGGACAAUGGGGGGAACCCUGAUCCAGCCAUGCCACGUGUGUGAAGAAGGCCUUAUGGUUGUAAAGCACUUUAAGCGAGGAGGAGGCUACUUUAGUUAAUACCUAGAGAUAGUGGACGUUACUCGCAGAAUAAGCACCGGCUAACUCUGUGCCAGCCGCCGCAGUAA
Molecule: ribosomal RNA, 501 nt
Filed under: uncultured bacterium
Lineage: Bacteria
Description: partial 16S ribosomal RNA
Rfam family: Bacterial small subunit ribosomal RNA
Source: RNAcentral